GGGAUGGCCGAGACACCCCUCGUCCUGUUGAGAUGUAAAACCUUACUUGUAACAUUAAUUUUGAAUCUUGGUUUCAGUAUUGCUGCUGCUACAAAUUUAAGAGGGUGGACAACAAUGGCAGAGGCAUAUGAAAACCUCAUCAAAUCUGUUGAAAUUGCUAUGUUUGGAAAGUAUGCUGGCCUGACAGACUCUUACAGUCUUACUUGUCUGUAGUGAUGCUGCAACUUCAACAAUUUGGCAGGCCCUUCUACAUGCAUGCGUUUCCUGCUCAUUGAGAUUAUCAAUUCAAUGGAUUGCAGCAUGUGAUCUUAAAGAUGAAAAAUGCAAAAGCGGUAUAAAUUUCACUGGCCAUUUUUAAUAAAGGAUAUCUGGUGUUACGUUUUUAAAUUAAUAUGCCUUUUGCUGGGUCUUUUCUUCAAAUACCGACACCACAGGCACAUGCUGUGGUAUGGGAAGC
Molecule: non-coding RNA, 457 nt
Organism: Elaeis guineensis (African oil palm)
Lineage: Eukaryota; Viridiplantae; Streptophyta; Magnoliopsida; Arecales; Arecaceae
Source: RefSeq, a predicted model, not a curated record